Culex pipiens pallens (northern house mosquito) is the source of this 690-nucleotide long non-coding RNA. RefSeq lists it as uncharacterized. NCBI's taxonomy places the organism in Eukaryota, Metazoa, Arthropoda, Insecta, Diptera, Culicidae. The record is from RefSeq and is a predicted model, not a curated record. The transcript is spliced from 3 exons.
AAAGUGUAAAAUUACCCGACACGGAAACCUUGUUUUAGACGUAAACUCGCUUCAUGUAAAUUUGAAAUCCGAUGUAAAUGGUUGAAUGCCACAUAAACACCCAUCAUGUAAAAUGAGAUUGUACGUAACCGGUGAAUCUCACGUAAAUGAAAAAAAUGUUAACGAAAACCCACAAAUUUGAAUGGAUGAAAAACAUGUAAACUGUGAAAAACAUUUAAAAACGUUUCAUGUAAAUGCUAAAAUAGUGUAAAAUCCCAAAAUUUUCCUUGCUUUUGUGUUUGACAGCUAGCAAAAUCAAAACAAUUAUGAGCUGCCGCGGGUCAGUUCGGUUGCUCGGAAAUGUAAGAUUCUUUCCGGCGGACCACUGUUAUGGUAAAAUUGGCAAUCUUUACCGAUGGUGGGGACACUUUUGGUCGGUGUUCAGAAACCGAUUCCUAUUUCCGAUUGCAUGUGAAGGAAAUAAGAAACAGAGAACAAGAGAAAAUCGAAAUAACUUUGUCAGCACAAGUCCAGAAGUCUUCAAGAAAUGUUUCUGGAUCUGCUUAUUUCAAAAGGUUCCGGAAGCUGAAGUGCACUUGCUUGUUUCUUAACGCCGGGAUUAAGGAUGUUGUCCAUUCGCUGCUGAUCCGGUUCUAUUAGCUAAAGUUGGUUUGUUUACAACGGGAGACCACUCGCUGCCGAUCCAAAAAC